Small nucleolar RNA from Oryctolagus cuniculus (rabbit), 132 nucleotides. Lineage: Eukaryota; Metazoa; Chordata; Mammalia; Lagomorpha; Leporidae. The record is from Ensembl.
GUUGAGGUCUAUCCUGAUGGGGCUUUUCCUAUAUCCACUCAUCAUUGGAAACACCUCCUAGAGCAACUAUGUGGCUUUGCUUUGCUCAUAGGACUUAUUCUUAGGUCUGUGGGAAAGAACUACAAGACAGCU